Molecule: long non-coding RNA, 1440 nt
Organism: Macrobrachium nipponense
Lineage: Eukaryota; Metazoa; Arthropoda; Malacostraca; Decapoda; Palaemonidae
Exons: 3
Source: RefSeq, a predicted model, not a curated record
CGUUGGCAACUCCACUUAAAAUGUACUGUAUAAAUAACCGCGCUGGAAGCGGCUAACCACCAGUCUCAAUUUGAACAACCUCGUAAAAUGGCGUCCCAAAGAAAGAUAUCCUUCGCCUUCUUGCUGGCUGCCACUACUUUACUCCUCUCCGCAACAGCUGAUCCUCUUCUGUUGCCUCCAUUACCUGCGUUACCUCAGUUACCAAUCACUGUCGUAGUCCCACCAAAUAACCCAGGUGCGCUGAUCCCCCUGGUGCCUUGCAAUCCCAUAUCUAACGCCAUCUGUUGCGCCUACAACCCGGGAUCCACCAACUACGUGAAGUGUUCCAGCGCCCUCCUGUGUACCCCUGCGUGUUAAGGUUUGCCAUCCUGUUUCUAGAAGUUGGUCAUCCUGUUUCUAGGGGUCGGCAAUUCCGUUAGCCGCUCGUGUGUAGGGAUUAUCAACCGUUAUAUAUUAGGGCCUGCCAGUCCCGUCCGUUGAAGGCUGGUAACCCUACUAUACGUGUCAAGGUCGCAGUCCUACUUGUGGCUGGUUGAAGAUACUCGUCAACUCUCCAGUUAUCUAUGUAUAGAUUAGACACACCUAGUCAAUGCUGGGAGUGAGCUCAACACUUUUGUAAUCAAAUGUCAAUGGUGUUGAUUUCACGAUGAUCGACCCAUUAUUAUAAUUUCAUGAUUUGGGUUAACGUAAGUUUGAUGGAAUGACUAAAUAGUCCUUUUCUGGUGAAUUAAUAUACACAGAGGUGCUCUAAACACUUUUGUAAUUGAGCGUCAAUGGCGUUGAUCGCACGAUAGUCGACCCAUUAUUAUAUUCUUAUGAUUUGGGUUAAUAUGCUACGUAAUUUUGAUGGAAUGACUUAAUGGUAAUUUUCUGGCAAAUUAAUAUACACAGAGAAAUUAGGAGAACAAAAUCUUCUAUAGAUCAGAUAUCCAGAGACCUCUAGAGACCACUAUGUACAAGACGCCCUGUGAUAACUUCUCUCGAACAGCGUCUCCAAAGAGAUAGUUUUCGAGAUGAACUUGAUUUUUUUGCAGCUAAUUUGUAAAUCGUUCAUUGAUCUGUUGUCCUGCUUCCAGUUUGUCAUCAGUUUUAAACGGCUCCUUUCCAACACUGCACGAGAAAAAUUCGUCUCAUAGAGUGUCUUCCAUCUUAAGUAGUUGACGUAUAAUCAUGAUUUUUUUAUUUCAUUGUCUGCCUUUGUUGAACACGUUUGUAAAAAAAAAAUAGCAAAAUAAGGCAACUGUACCUAACUUUCCACUAGCGCCAGUGUUUCCAUGUUGAAUAAUCAAAAUAUUAUUUUUACCACAAAUGUUAUUCUUAAGUUACCGUUGUUUCAGCUCGAUGUUAAGUUUAUUUUAAGACAUCUCAGUUUUUUGUUUUGUUAACCUACCGUUAUUGUGGAUUGUGCUGUUUGUUGAUUAACAAUAAAAAUGAUGAAAC